GACGAACGCUGGCGGCGUGCUUAACACAUGCAAGUAGAACGGAAAGGCCCUGCUUUGGUUGUGUGCUCGAGUUGCGAACGGGUGAGUAACACGUAGGUAACCUGCCCUUGACUGUGGGAUAACUUCAGGAAACUGGGGCUAAUACCGCAUAGGAGCUCCUGCUGCAUGGUGGGGGUUGGAAAGUUUCGGCGGUUGGGGUUGGAGGCGCGGCUUAUCAGCUUGUUGGUGGGGUAGUGGCUUACCAUGGCUUUGACGGGUAGCCGGCCUGAGAGGGUGACCGGCCACAGUGGGACUGAGAUACGGCCCAGACUGCUACGGGAGGAAGCAGUGGGGAAUAGAGCACAAUGGGCGGAAGCCUGAUGCAGCAACGCCGCGUGCGGGAGGACGGCUUUCGGGUUGUAAACCGCUUUCGCCUGGGACGAAGCGUGAGUGACGGUAAUGGGUAAAGAAGCACCGGCUAACUACGUG
Molecule: ribosomal RNA, 468 nt
Filed under: uncultured bacterium
Lineage: Bacteria
Description: partial 16S ribosomal RNA
Rfam family: Bacterial small subunit ribosomal RNA
Source: RNAcentral